Molecule: ribosomal RNA, 111 nt
Filed under: Candidatus Aminicenantota bacterium
Lineage: Bacteria; Candidatus Aminicenantota
Source: RNAcentral
GGCAACCAUAACGGAGGGGAAACACCCGAUCCCAUUCCGAACUCGGAAGUUAAGCCCUCCGGUGCCGAUGGUACUGCGUGGGCAACUGCGUGGGAGAGUAGGUCGUUGCCG